UCUCUAAUGGUAUAACUAAUAAGCAUUAAUAGCCAUAAAAGAAAUCGUACAAAAGCUUAAUCAAAAUUUGAAGAACUCCAUCGAUUCCAAGAAUGUUAAAGUGUUUGUUUUAUUGUAAUUUUCUCGACACUUUGCCAAAUAUUAGUGUCAGCGCGAUAAAUAAGAAGGCAAUGCACAAGCAAUCAUAGACACAUACAUGUGUAUGUAUGUACAUAUUCGACGAUUCUCUCUGUAUGCAUACACAUGUUUGGGUGUCUGUUUUCGCAAUUCAUAUCUACUUAUGCUUGCUUGUGCGUUAUCUGUUUUCUGUUUUCUGUGCGCCAACUCUGGCUUAUAUCGUCCGUAAUGGGGAUUAUUAACUGACAUGUAAAAAAAAUCGCCUUCUGCAGGUCGAGCAGAUAGGGCAAUUUGGUUGCUUAAUUCUUGUCGGUUCUCAAAUCAAAAUUUGUUAGUGCUCCGUUUAUUUUAAAGUCUCUUACGAACCCCAAAAGGUAUAUCCAACCUAAGUCGGACUUCAUUAACCGAUAUUAACAAAUUAAAAAUUAAUUUUUUCUUUUUAAUUUUGCAACUGAAUUUGCCAUGGACAAGAAGACGUUCAAUAACAUUGGUAGCUACCAUGGAUAAAUGUACCUUAAAUAAAAUCGAAUUUAAAUUUUGACCAAAAUGGCUAAGGUAACAUGAACCUUGUUGCCAAACUGCGUCGUUUCUCACCUGAACAUUUUAAAGGACUUACGAAUCCUUUAAGCUUAACCUGUCAACGUUUAUGGACAACAUAUAAUCAACAAAUAAGAUCUGCGGAAAUAUGUCUCUUUGACAUAAUAAAUAUAGUAUUUCAUAUAAAUAUAUAAUAUCAGACGACAUUUACCAGAGAUAAAACGUGCUUUGUGUCGAUUUGCCAAUUGAUAGUACGGAUCCUCAGGAGUCUAAAAAUGAUUCCCCCGGGUCAGCAGCUCCUAAUAAAACAUAUUCAUAUUGAAUAAUGCAGUCCAACUAACAGAGUGUUAAAUUGUGAGUGAGUCGAGCGGACGAAAAAACCGGCGCCCAGAAAAUAAGCAAGCGAUCGAAAGACGAGUGAGAACGAUGCGCCUCAUUACUUAGCAUGCACACACCCACACAAACACGUGUAUGCGCAGAGAUGAGCCAAGGCCAGAGAUAAGCAGCCACCUGUUCGUGUGUGUGUUCGCUGUCAUUUUGCUCACGCGCUCACGAUACAAUUUGGUGCUGAUCGCUGAUUGGUCCACACAUUAGCGGCCGGCCGUGAUGUACUCGCCUAGUCGAUUGAGUGUUCUUUUUUCUGAGCGCCGUUUUUAUGGAUCAGCUCAACUUAACAUAUGUUUGGGUGUGUGUUUUCGCAAUUCAUAUCUAUGCUUGCUUGUGCGUUAUCUACCUUUGAACGGCGAUUACUCCAGUUUGUGGAUUACUUGCUCAGUUUUCUGUUCUCCGACUUACGAAUCUUUAAUGCCUAACCGGCCAACGUUCAUGGACAGCGUAUAAUCAACAAAUAAUAAGAUCGGUGGAAAUAUAUCUCUUUAAAAUAAUAAACGUUAUAUUUCCGCGCGGAAAUAUGUCGGAUUUGGAACGUCGGAGCUGCGCGAGAUAUGAAAUAAUUAAUUUUAUAUGCUAUAGCCAACUUUGCCACGCUCAUGGACAACAUUUCAUCAGAAAAUGAUCGCUUUUCAUGGUACCUAGUUGACCUGUAUAUCCUUUUUAAUUUCAUAUCAUGGAUAUAGUCCUAGCGAACCUAAAGGACAACGUUCUUGCAAAAUGCGUAGGAACUAGGUCCAAAAUAUGUAUGCUUUUCUUUAACAGCCGUCCCCAGCAACAGCAACAGUUUCUAGUUGACUAGCAUAUCCUUGGUAAUACCAUACCAUGGAUAUAGUCCUAGCGAACCUAAAGGAUCAGAUCCCUGCAAAAUGUGCAUUGAAAUGGUCCAAAAACAUGUAUGCUUUUUCUUUCAGGAGCCCUUUUACAUUAGCUGCAGCUGCAGCUGUUGCUUAACAGCCGGCUUACAGCACUCUCGCAGCUUAACAGAGCUCAUUUAAAUUGAGUUACAUUUUUGCCCCUUAAUGCUAUGCAAUGAAAAUUUUUAUUCAAAGAACUCGUCGACCUUCUGGGCAUUUCUGUUCGCCUGGUACUUGAGUGGAAUUUUAGUGCAAUUUUGGGACCCAGCCGGUGACGAGGGCGCCCCGUGAGGGUAUGCAAUGGAUUUCUUCGGUCGCAAAAAUAUUUCUUAUCGACCUUCUGCGCAUUUCUGUUCGCCUGGUACUUUUAGGAAAUUUUAGUAAAAAUUUGGGACCCAGCCGGUAACGAGGGCGCCCCGUGAGGGUAUGCAACGAAAUUUUUCGGUCGCAAAAAUAUUUUUUGUCGACCUUCUGGGCAUUUCUGUUCGCCUGGUAUUUUGGCAGAUUUUAAGAAAAAUCUCGGCAGCCAGCGGUUGCCAACAAACGCCUCUCUCUCACGGGUGUGCAAUAGGCUUCUAAAGACCGUUAAUUUUUGAAUUUGUAAAUAAAAAAACAGGAAUUUCUCUCU
Drosophila virilis is the source of this 2529-nucleotide long non-coding RNA. RefSeq lists it as uncharacterized. NCBI's taxonomy places the organism in Eukaryota, Metazoa, Arthropoda, Insecta, Diptera, Drosophilidae. The record is from RefSeq and is a predicted model, not a curated record.